UAAUACGGAGGUUGCAAGCGUUGUUCGGAUUUACUGGGCGUAAAGGGAGCGCAGGCGGCUAGGUCAGUCUGAAGUGAAAGUCCGGGGCUCAACCUCGGAAGGGCUUCAGAUACUGCCUGGCUUGAGUACGUGAGAGGUGAGCGGAAUUCCAGGUGAAGCGGUGAAAUGCGUAGAUAUCUGGAGGAACAUCGGUGGCGAAAGCGGCUCACUGGCACGAAACUGACGCUGAGGCUCGAAAGCGUGGGGAGCGAACGGGAUUAGAUACCCCGGUAGUCCACGCCGUAAACGUUGUGCACUAGGUGUGGGGGGUAUCGACCCCUCCCGUGCCGUCGCUAACGCAUUAAGUGCACCGCCUGGGGAGUACGGUCGCAAGACUG
RNAcentral lists this ribosomal RNA (377 nucleotides) under uncultured delta proteobacterium. RNAcentral describes it as "bacterial SSU rRNA". It matches the Rfam family "Bacterial small subunit ribosomal RNA", at positions 521 to 896 of the family's 1533-position model. The record is from RNAcentral. Lineage: Bacteria; Deltaproteobacteria.